Non-coding RNA from Paramuricea clavata, 265 nucleotides. The record is from the annotation of a GenBank genome assembly. Lineage: Eukaryota; Metazoa; Cnidaria; Anthozoa; Malacalcyonacea; Plexauridae.
CACUUUUGUCUACGGAAGCCAAUUACAAAACAAGUUCAUUUUUGCUUUGUGUUUAUCAGUGAUAAGAACUCGAGUCAAAAACGUGUCAUAACAACUAGAAUACUACAGGCAGUUGGAACAAAUCCUGAUAUCGACUUGAAAUCAGAUUUGUUUGCAGCUCGUGUAAAAUGACUUGAUACAGUCUUGGAAGUCGAACAAAUUAAAUCUUCCAGACUGAUUGUGACGUAAGAUGUCGUCAUAUAGUUAACGGCUAUUCUAAACGUCA